This 491-nucleotide ribosomal RNA is filed under the name uncultured soil bacterium. Its description in RNAcentral is "bacterial SSU rRNA". It matches the Rfam family "Bacterial small subunit ribosomal RNA", at positions 26 to 506 of the family's 1533-position model. The record is from RNAcentral.
AGAUUGAACGCUGGCGGCAGGCCUAACACAUGCAAGUCGAGCGGUAGAGAGGUGCUUGCAUCUCUUGAGAGCGGCGGACGGGUGAGUAAUGCCUAGGAAUCUGCCUAGUGGUGGGGGAUAACGUUCGGAAACGGACGCUAAUACCGCAUACGUCCUACGGGAGAAAGCGGGGGACCUUCGGGCCUCGCGCCAUUAGAUGAGCCUAGGUCGGAUUAGCUAGUUGGUGAGGUAAUGGCUCACCAAGGCGACGAUCCGUAACUGGUCUGAGAGGAUGAUCAGUCACACUGGAACUGAGACACGGUCCAGACUCCUACGGGAGGCAGCAGUGGGAAUAUUGGACAAUGGGACGAAAGCCUGAUCCAAGCCAUGCCGCGUGUGUGAAGAAGGUCUUCGGAUUGUAAAGCAACUUUAAGUUGGGAGGUAAGGGUUGUAAACCUAAUACGUUGACUAACGUUUGACGUUACGACUAGAAUAAGCACGGCUAACUUCGU